This 477-nucleotide ribosomal RNA is filed under the name uncultured bacterium. RNAcentral describes it as "partial 16S ribosomal RNA". It matches the Rfam family "Bacterial small subunit ribosomal RNA", at positions 28 to 507 of the family's 1533-position model. The record is from RNAcentral.
GAUUAACGCUGGCGGCGUGCAUAACACAUGCAAGUCGAACGAUGAAACUUUAAUGAACCCUUCGGGGAGAAUUAAAGCGGAUUAGUGGCGAACGGGUGAGUAACGCGUGAGUAACCUGCCUUACACAAGGGGAUAGCCUUUGGAAACGAAGAAUAAUACCCUAUAUAACCAUAAAAGCACAUGCAAUUAUGGUCAAAGUGAUAGCGGUGUAAGAUGGACUUGCGUCUGAUUAGCUAGUUGGUGAGAUAAAAGCCCACCAAGGCAACGAUCAGUAGCCGGCUUGAGAGAGUGUACGGCCACAUUGGGACUGGGACACGGCCCAGACUCCUACGGGAGGCAGCAGUGGGGAAUUUUGCACAAUGGGGGAAACCCUGAUGCAGCGACGCCGCGUGAUUUAGAAGGCCUUCGGGUUGUAAAAAUCUUUUGUAUAGGAAGAAAAUGACAGUACUAUACGAAUAAGGUCCGGCUAAUUACGUG